RNAcentral lists this transfer RNA (68 nucleotides) under Marmota monax (woodchuck). RNAcentral describes it as "tRNA.Ala". Lineage: Eukaryota; Metazoa; Chordata; Mammalia; Rodentia; Sciuridae. The record is from RNAcentral.
GGAUGUGGCUCAAGUGGUAGCGCGCGCGCCUGGCCUGCGCACGGCCCUGGGUUCGAUCCUCAGCACCA